GACGAACGCUGGCGGCGUGCUUAACACAUGCAAGUCGAACGGAAAGGCCCUGCUUGCCGGGUGCUCGAGUGGCGAACGGGUGAGUAACACGUGGGUGAUCUGCCCCUUACUUUGGGAUAAGCCUGGGAAACUGGGUCUAAUACUGGAUAGGACCAUGCUGUAGGUGGUGUGGUGGAAAGAUUAGUUUCGGUAAGGGAUGAGCUCGCGGCCUAUCAGCUUGUUGGUGGGGUAAUGGCCUACCAAGGCGUCGACGGGUAGCCGGCCUGAGAGGGUGGACGGCCACAUUGGGACUGAGAUACGGCCCAGACUCCUACGGGAGGCAGCAGUGGGGAAUAUUGCACAAUGGGCGCAAGCCGGAUGCAGCGACGCCGCGUGGGGGAUGACGGCCUUCGGGUUGUAAACUCCUUUCAGCCAUGACGAAGCCCUUGUGGUGACGGUAGUGGUAGAAGAAGCACCGGCUAACUACGUG
Molecule: ribosomal RNA, 469 nt
Filed under: uncultured bacterium
Lineage: Bacteria
Description: partial 16S ribosomal RNA
Rfam family: Bacterial small subunit ribosomal RNA
Source: RNAcentral